Molecule: unclassified non-coding RNA, 197 nt
Filed under: uncultured fungus
Lineage: Eukaryota; Fungi
Description: sequence contains ITS1, 5.8S rRNA gene
Source: RNAcentral
UUAACUAUUAUAUAGUACUCAGACGACAUUAAUAAAAAGAGUUUUGAUAUCCUCUGGCGAGCAUGCUCGAGCCCGAAAGCUCAAGGCCCGUGAAGGCAGCUCGCCAAAGCAACAAAGUAAUAAUACACAAGGGUGGGAGGUCUACCCUUUCGGGCAUGAACUCUGUAAUGAUCCUUCCGCAGGUUCACCUACGGAAA